Molecule: ribosomal RNA, 328 nt
Filed under: uncultured Bacteroidota bacterium
Lineage: Bacteria; Pseudomonadati; Bacteroidota
Description: bacterial SSU rRNA
Rfam family: Bacterial small subunit ribosomal RNA
Source: RNAcentral
GAUGAACGCUAGCGGGAGGCUUAACACAUGCAAGUCGAGGGGCAGCACGAUGUAGCAAUACGUUGGUGGCGACCGGCGCACGGGUGAGUAACGCGUAUGUAACCUACCUUGUACAGGGGGAUAGCCCGGAGAAAUUCGGAUUAAUACCCCAUAAUGAUAUUUGAAGGCAUCUUCAGAUAUUUAAAGUUUCGACGGUACGAGAUGGGCAUGCGUGACAUUAGCUAGUUGGUAAGGUAACGGCUUACCAAGGCUACGAUGUCUAGGGGUCCUGAGAGGGUGAUCCCCCACACUGGUACUGAGACACGGACCAGACUCCUACGGGAGGCAG